RNAcentral lists this ribosomal RNA (433 nucleotides) under uncultured bacterium. RNAcentral's name for it is "partial 16S ribosomal RNA". It matches the Rfam family "Bacterial small subunit ribosomal RNA", at positions 29 to 507 of the family's 1533-position model. The record is from RNAcentral.
AACGAACGCUGGCGGCAGGCCUAACACAUGCAAGUCGAGCGAGGACUUCGGUUCUAGCGGCGGACGGGUGAGUAACGCGUGGGAAUGUGCCCUUCUCUACGGAAUAGCCCUGGGAAACUGGGAGUAAUACCGUAUACGCCCUUUUGGGGAAAGAUUUAUCGGAGAAGGAUCAACCCGCGUUGGAUUAGGUAGUUGGUGGGGUAAUGGCCUACCAAGCCGACGAUCCAUAGCUGGUUUGAGAGGAUGAUCAGCCACACUGGGACUGAGACACGGCCCAGACUCCUACGGGAAGCAGCAGUGGGGAAUCUUAGACAAUGGGGGCAACCCUGAUCUAGCCAUGCCGCGUGAGUGAUGAAGGCCUUAGGGUUGUAAAGCUCUUUCAGCUGGGAAGAUAAUGACGGUACCAGCAGAAGAAGCCCCGGCUAACUCCGUG